Molecule: ribosomal RNA, 241 nt
Filed under: uncultured bacterium
Lineage: Bacteria
Description: partial 16S ribosomal RNA
Rfam family: Bacterial small subunit ribosomal RNA
Source: RNAcentral
AGUGGCGAACGGGUGAGGAACGCGUGGACAACCUACCCCGGCGUGGGGGAUACCCGCCAGAAAUGGCGGCUAAUACCGCGUACGGUCGCCCGACGGAGGGUUGGGCGAAGAAAGCAGCGAUGCGCGCUGGGAGGGGUCUGCGGCCGAUUAGCUUGUUGGCGGGGUAACGGCCCACCAAGGCGGUGAUCGGUAGCUGGUCUGAGAGGAUGAUCAGCCACACGGGGACUGAGACACGGCCCCG